Molecule: ribosomal RNA, 229 nt
Filed under: uncultured bacterium
Lineage: Bacteria
Description: partial 16S ribosomal RNA
Rfam family: Bacterial small subunit ribosomal RNA
Source: RNAcentral
CAUGUAGGCGGUCUGUCAAGUCUGAUGUGAGAGCCCGGGGCUCAACCCCGGAAGUGCAUUGGAAACUGGCAGACUUGAGUACGGGAGAGGAAAGUGGAAUUUCGAGUGUAGGGGUGAAAUCCGUAGAUAUUCGAAGGAACACCAGUGGCGAAGGCGGCUUUCUGGACCGAUACUGACGCUGAGAUGCGAAAGCGUGGGGAGCAAACAGGAUUAGAUACCCUGGUAGUCC